Molecule: RNA transcript, 4009 nt
Organism: Grus americana (Whooping crane)
Lineage: Eukaryota; Metazoa; Chordata; Aves; Gruiformes; Gruidae
Gene: B3GNTL1
Gene name: UDP-GlcNAc:betaGal beta-1,3-N-acetylglucosaminyltransferase like 1
Exons: 16
Source: RefSeq, a predicted model, not a curated record
GCGGGGAGAGCCAGCGGGAGCCCCGCCACAGCCCGCCGCCCUGUGCCCCCCCGGCCGCCGGCGGGGCGAGGCCACGCUGUCCAGGUGUUUUUCAGGUUUACACAGAAGCAUCAUCAGGAAUUCGGCUCUGUACCUUAUUUUGGCAGGCAUCUAGCUCACCAUUGUUGUGAUAGUUCUGUGGAAGUAGAACUUGUUCAUGGUAAUGUAUUUAGAAACAUGCUAAUAUAUUAUGAGUUGUUGAGUUCAGACUACCUUGGUGCCAUCAGGUAUUUAUGGAUUGUUUUAUAUAUGCUGCUGUUAAAGUACUGCUUUUUCUAUUUUCAGUUCAAACUAAACAGAGAGGUUCUAACGUAAUCUUUAUAUUUUGCACUGCUGUCCUGACUUAAAACAGAAGUUCAUUAUGGAAAAAAGCAAAGAAGUUCCAGUUUUCCAGUUUUCAAGCCAAUAUAAAGCUAAUUUGUGAUGGCAUAAUCAAAUUUUUACUGAGUUAAUUAGAAAAAAAUUUGGAAAAUCAUGGAUUUGCAAAACUGCAGCUAGUUUAUAUUGUCAUUGGAAGAAUUGGAGAAUCCUUUUCUUUCUUCAUGAAUCUGUUAGAUUCAUCCAUAUGAAUAUAUAGGGUCAUAUUUUAAUUGCCAUCUAGACAUAAAGGAUAUUAUAAUCCUGAGUAAAUUGAAUAUAUUGGAUUAGCAUCUCAGAUUUCUGCUUAUUUUUUAGAUCUCCAAGUACUAAUCUGAGACAUCGUUCUGAAAAAAUAUUUUUUGUCUGUAUCUUGUAAUUUUUUUGUAAUCAAUUUCACAUUUUAAUUUUUUUUAUUUCUUCUUAUUUUACUUAUUUAUCUCUCCAAAACAGAGGUGAAAGACCUGCUUUGCUUAAAAUUUUAGAUAGCUUUCCUUUUACCUUCUUUUAAAUACCCCUUUCACUUGUUACAGCGUCCUGCCAAAAAUCAGGAUGUUCGUUCAUUUUAGACGAACAUAGGGUAUUUUUAUUUUGCUGUGAAAUGUUGUUAAGUUUCUUAUUUGUUAGUUAUUGUACCAUACAUCAUAGUCUGUAAUACCUGUGUGUACUUACAUCAUACUCUAAAACCCAAAAAUACACUUCUCACUGUCCACAAAAUAUAUCUACAUAGUAAUGUGUGCAUUUGCCUGUAUUCAUACAAUGUACAUGUACUCACAUGUUACCAAAUCUUGAAUAAUUCAGUAUUCUUCUAGUAUUUUGUUUCUUAAGAUUCUCACAUGCUCGCAAUAGGAACUAAUCUUCUGUUUCUUCAACCUGUGCAUUUAUGGUUACACCACACAAUAAGGAGUUUAAGUUCUGUUUCUAGGAACCUCUUAAAACGUCGCAUGAGACUUCUACAUGUUCCUUAGGCUCUUUGCCUUAAGUUCCCUAUCUAUAAGUGAUUUUAACAGGUACAAGUUAAUUAGAACAGUGGUGAGUAAUUGAACAGAGAAAUCCCAGAUUUCUGGUUUCUAACCAAUUUUAAAAUAUUUCGGAUAAGUUUUCAUGCUUUGCGUGUAUGUGGCUGAAACAAUAGAGGCUGUAAUAGGAAAGCCUGCGAUUGAAAUGGUAGGCUAUGGAACUAUGUCAUAUGUCAUCUUCUACUGUGCAGUUUUAGAUAGAAUAAUUUUUAAAAACUUGGCUAGAGCCCAAGGUUACAGGCUGCAUACAUAAGCCUCUGCAAUUAAGUUGUAAGCUUAAAGAAAAAUUGAUGAGUAAGAUAUAUUAAAGGAAGACCGAAGUAAAGAGCGUUGUAAGAAAUAGGAAUACUAGAAACAGGUUAAUGUGGUGUUAUAGAUGUUUUGUUAGCAUUUUUGGUUCAGUAGUCUCUCUUGUUUCCUUGGGGAUCUACCAAAGCCAUCUUGUAGAACUCAAAAAGUGGGGGGAAAAAAAAAAGUUUGAUAGAGAAGAAAGCAAAUCAUAUAUUUAUAAUGAAAGUAAAGGAUCUUUGCUGACUUUUAUAUUUUUAGGAUGCAUUUUUUUUGUGAAAGUUAGUUACAAAAGGAUCUGGCACUUCCCCUUUUUGAUGUAAGUAAAGAAGAAUAAUGAUUACUGACAUAUAUUUGGAUUUUUGUUUGUUUUUUUGUAGUCUGUCAUUGUGCCUGUUCACAAUAGUGAAUGCUGGUUAGAUGAAUGCUUGAAGUCAGUUUGGGAACAAGAUUUUAAAGAAACCAUGGAGCUUUCAGUUUUUAAUGAUGCCAGUAAGGACUGUUCAGCUGAAAUAAUUGAAAAAUGGAAGAUCACGUUGGAAGAUGCUGGUGUGCCAGUAAUCAUUGGUAGUAAUGGUUCAUCUCAGCCUCGAGGCGUUGGAUUUGCUAAAAAUCAAGCAGUAAUUCAGAGCUCAGGAACCUAUCUCUGCUUUCUGGAUUCAGAUGAUGUGAUGAUGCCACAGCGAGUUAGACUGCAGCAUGAAGCUGCCAUUCAACGCCCAAACAGUAUCAUUGGUUGCCAAGUCAGAAGAGAGCCACAGGACUCUACUGAACGGUAUACUCGUUGGAUCAAUAGUCUGUCUGAAGAACAACUUCUUACACAGGUGUUUACCUCCCAUGGACCUACUGUGAUCAUGCCAACCUGGUUCUGUUCUCGAGAAUGGUUUUUUCACGUGGGAAAAUUCGAUGAAGGUGGAAAGGGCGUGCCAGAAGAUUUGCUGUUUUUUUAUAAACAUAUCCAAAAGGGCGGUGAAGUCUUUCGAGUAAACCAUUGCCUCCUGCUCUACCGUUACCAUCCACAGGCUGCAACUCAUUCCGUCCUAGAGGGAACCAUCUGGAAUCACCGAGUCAGGUUUCUUGAAGACAGAGUCCUGAGCUCCUGGACAUCAUUCACCAUUUGGAAUGCUGGCAAGCAAGGCAAGAAGCUCUACAGAAGCUUGUCCCCAGCUAAUCGGAAAAAGGUAACUGCAUUUUGUGAUGUUGAUGAAAAGAAAAUAACAAAAGGAUUCUACACUUACGAAGAAUCUGAGGAGAGACCAAAGCCAAAAAUUCCUAUAUGUCACUUCAGAGACGCAACUCCACCUUUCAUUAUCUGCGUGAAGCUGGAUUUGACAGGCGGAGCAUUUGAAACAAACCUGAACACGCUGAACUUGAAGGAAGGGAUGGAUUAUUACCACUUCAACUAGAACCCAAGGAGCACACUUCCAUACUUUACCUUGGACACCAGCUGCGGUUUGGGCACUUUCAUGAGGUCACAGAGACAGUUGCGUUUCUCCCUUACUACUGGCAGUUCAGCUUCCCUGCACGAGGAAGUGUUUUCCAGUUAAUUCAACAAUUCAAACCUGAAGUUGGCUACAUGCAUACAACUAACUCCUUAUUGCUUUAGAAAACUUCACAUCAAGAAUUUAAAUAAAUGUCACUGGAUUACUCUCUGAAGAGGCUUUCUCCUGAAAUUGAAAAUACAGACCUUAAAUUUGUGACUCUAAUGUACAAUGCUAAAAAUUUGCCAAAAGGGAACAAAACAGGGCCAAAAUUAUGGAGAGUAUUCCCUCCUCCUGCCACUUCAAAGGUGCUGAGGAAGGAGUUCCUCCUGCCCCUGAAGGACACGCGUGAAGAAUGAGCCCCUGUUCCCCUGCGCCUGGAAGAAGCUAAUGUUACAGCUUGCAGAGAUCCUUCCUCUCCCAAAAUCCUGCCAGUGUUCCUAAAUGCCAAGAAACUGUCUGUGCAGUUGAAGUUUGACUGUUUGCACAGCGCUGUCUCUCUCUCUCUCUGUUUCAUGGACAAUUUCCAAGAUCUCCUCCCUUUUUAUGUUGUUAGAAAAAUAUGGGUAUUUUACUUUAUCUAGUGGUGACUUUCUACAUACCGCCUCCAGUGGGACAAUAUACUAGAUAGUUCUAAACAACUGAAGAAUUCUUUUCAGCAAUGCUUUUCUGGCCCAGAAGCAAUAAACAGCUAAAACUACAGUAUCGUUUCUUACAGCUUCCUUGCCAUCAGCUUUCAAAGGCAUCGACUUUUUAACUCCAGUGGUACAAAAAUUAUUUCCGUGCUUAUUACUAUCUGGCAACAAAUUCACCUACCAGUUGGUA